UGGUGACACGGUGGUUACGGUGGCUGGAUUCCACAAGGCAGAUUACGCGCUUCAAGCCUCAGGCCUGGAGGCUUGAGAAACACACCAGGUGCACGUGCGGGCAUGACCAACGUCCCAAGAGAAGAACGAAGGGGAAGGGAAUCGCGCUGUGGCCUUUCCCUCUAGGGGGUGAUUUCUCACUUUCUCUCUCCUCUCUGCCCGGAUGCCAGCCUGUGUCUUUUGGUGGAGCCGGAUUCUCAAUAAUAAGGAAAACCAAUCUUUAGAAGACUACUAAGAGGUUACAGAGUAAUUUACAUUUAAAUAGAAGGGGAUCUGAAACUCAGACGCACACCUACGGCUGCAGGAGCUGCUCCUUACCGCAACAAUAACCGUGUCCGUGCCACGCCAGGCUUCUCUUGCCAUCUGCCUUGACUCCUGGAAGAGAACGCAGCUACAGUGGGGUCCUGGGACCACUAACUCACUGCUCCCGGAGCUGCCUGCCACACGGUGCUCAGAUCCUGAAAAGGGCUGAUCUGAGUAGCCCGAAGUGCCAUCUUAGCCUCCAAGUUGGACCAAAAGCAAAAGACACCCCAGCAUCAUUGCAUGGCUUCUGAGGAUGGUGAAGUCUAUCCAAGGAAACAACUAACCUCCAGUUAGCAUAUGCAUGGCAGCACGGAGACUUGACCCGAGUGGGAGAACAGCAGCUGCACCCUUAAUGCCUAUCUCAGCCUUAGUUGAUGAAAAUUGGAGGAGGUGAUAGAACCAGUCCAUUGCUAAUGUCUCCUAAUGACGCAGAGAUGAAAAUUUAAAAUGGGCCUCUACAUACUAUGUUAACUCCCGAUUUUAGCAGUCCCUCAACAAUCCAUAAACCCUUCUCCCCUUUUAUUUGCCAAAGAUUGACACUGCUAAUCAGGGCUAAGAUGAACUUAAAUAAUGAACUACGUGUACCAAUAUGUUAAUCCACUGGCAAAGCACUGAGAGGGCACGGCCACGUUGCGCUGGGAUGCUAGAGCGAGGAUUGCGGGUCAUCCUAACAUCUUCUACCAAAAGCUGCUCGAAGGAUGUAUCUGCUAAGAAGAUCACCCGUAAACAGUAACUGCUACGGUUUCAAUGAAUCCACACAAAAGUUCCUGUGUUGGACUUUGGCUGUAUUGUGAAGGUACUGAGAUAAAAUUUAAUUCUGCUAGAAGACUAAGAGGUGGAGCCUUUGGAGGGUGAUUAUGAUGAGGGCCCCAUGAAUGGCUAGGCAUGGUCUAUAAGAAGUCACAAGGACACAGAGGCACGCGCUCCUGCUCUUUUCAGUGCUGUGAUGUAUCAAGAAGACCCUCACAGACAUGGCCUCUGGACCUUGGAGCUUCAAACCACGAGCUGAAUAAACCUCUGCUUUUAUAAACUACCCAGACAUCAGUAUUUCCAUUAUUACCGACGGAACAGACUAGAACAGAAUCCAAUCAAAAUAGAAUUGAAAAAAAUCAAAGAA
Tupaia belangeri chinensis (Chinese tree shrew) is the source of this 1459-nucleotide long non-coding RNA. RefSeq lists it as uncharacterized. The transcript is spliced from 3 exons. The record is from RefSeq and is a predicted model, not a curated record. Lineage: Eukaryota; Metazoa; Chordata; Mammalia; Scandentia; Tupaiidae.